This is a long non-coding RNA of Marmota monax (woodchuck), 2650 nucleotides long. RefSeq lists it as uncharacterized. NCBI's taxonomy places the organism in Eukaryota, Metazoa, Chordata, Mammalia, Rodentia, Sciuridae. The transcript is spliced from 3 exons. The record is from RefSeq and is a predicted model, not a curated record.
AAACACAGCCUUAUUUUUUUUUUUUUUUUAGGGCCCAGGCUAUGUGCAGAAGAACAGAGUCCUCAAUGGGUUUUGGAUUCAGACACCACUUCCUGACUGGCAUAGUUUUAGGGAGGUUACUUAAGCUCUACAAGUUUAUGAGGAUUGAAUGAGAAAAUUUAGGUUAGACAUUUAGCCCAGCGCCAGGCACACGGAGACUGCUGAGUAAACAGGAUCUACUGUGGUUAUUAUUAUUCAUCGUUAUUACCACUAGCAUCAUUAUUUUAUGGGCAUAACUAAUGAGUUGGCAAUACUAACACAAACUUUAGCCAGAAUUUGACAAGGCCAAAAUAAAACCAGACCCAGUGAAAGAGACUAUGCUCAGCUCUCCCCAGCUACAGCUGGCCAGCGGCCUCCCUCCUGCUCCUCUCCAAGACCUUUAGAAGAAGCUCCUCAGCAGCUGGUACCUUGCUCUUGUGCUGACACCUAGGGACAGCCCCUGGUGUUUGGGUUUUUUUUUUUUUUUUUUCCUACUAUUAUUGACGGACAGUCUGCAAUAUUCAAAUCAGCUCUUUCAGUUCUUUUUUCUUUGGGGACCUGCCCAAGGAAGGCCUGGUGAGAUGCUGUCAAGGGUUCCAGAGCAAGUCCUGUGUCUAAGACAGACCGGAGCAAGAUGUGUCUUCUGUGUGUUACAAUCUGAAUGACUUAACAAUGAACAUGAAUGAAUCACAGCUGAAUAGAUCCCAAAGAAGACAGUUCUCUUGGGUACCACUUCCUUUGCUACCCACAAUCCCUAAAUUGGUUCCACCAGCCCCACAAACUGACAGCAGUGGCUGACCCUGGGUGACCGGCACUCUCUGUUCAGCUGGUGGAAGACAGCAUCAGAUCUCAGCGCUCAUGUGCACUUCAACUCCCCUGGCGCCCGGCCAGCCUUAGCUGGAGCUUUGCCAUCUGCUGGAGCACAGGAGAGGCAGAACCCAAGUCUCCAAUAGUUCUUUCAUCCACAUCAAGAGAAUGUGCUGAGCAGCAAAAAUCAACUUCGCUGGGGGAGAAGGUCUGACACUCAACCUGAAACCUGGAGGACUGAUUUGGAUUGACAAGAGUGAGUUCCAGGCAGAGGAAGCUUCCCAGAGCCAAUCAGGCAGCUGGAGGAGGAGAAACCAGCCCAAGCCCGUCUCAGCUCCCAGGACCUCCCCGCUCUGUAAUUAAUUACAGGUAGUUUUGUAUCUUCCUCCGAAUCAUUAUUUAAUUCCUACAGUGUUGACUGGGUUGGUAAUAUUUGUCUCUGCUCUUUUUAGUUCAGGUUGUAAGCUUGUGAGUACAAACUCCAUGGCUUGGUAUAUAAUCCAUGUCACAUUUACUUGUUUCUUUAAAUCAGGUUUAAUCAGCUCAGAAUCCCAUCCCCCACUCACCAGAGUUGAGAAACCCAAUUGUUGUAGGGACAGACAAGGCAAGGCACCAAAGAUAGCAGGAAACAGUUUUAUUUGGCUGCAGCCAGGUUCAGAGGGCACAGCUUUUGCUGUAAUCAAUUAAUCCCCUGAACCCCGAGUUCAGGGAGUUUCAGAAUUUUAUACCCAGCAUGUAAGGGGAGGGGCUCAGAAGUUCCCAGUCUGCAGAAGUUCACAUAAAAGCAGCUUUUCUUUCACUGUUUUGGGCAAGUUAACCCUUCAAGGUCAGCACCUGAGAAGGGGAGAGCUUCUUCUUCCCUUCUUUCCUCCCCCUGCCAGCUGUUACCAUGGAGCCCAUUUGUAACUUAUCUUAAAAAUGUAGACAUCUCUGUGAAGCCCUAGCUCAAGGCCAGAGGCCUUGUUUGCACAUUUCUACAAAAUACUAUACUGGAUAUGUUUGUGAAAAACUAGUAAGGGGUGUCCAGCACCUGGGGUGCUGGUAUCUUCCCGGCCAGUGGCCAAGUAAAACAGGGUGACAUGAAAAUAGGAAGUUUAUCUACAUUGAGCUCUUUUGCAGAGACUCUUUUGCUGACAGUCCUAAAAUCAGCCAUGGUGAAGAUUUCUGGAGAAGCCCAGUUAAGUCUUUUCUGUGGAGAAAGGGGGUGCCACUUCACAACCUCAGUCUCAAGGGAGAUACUUCCUCCUCUAUCUGCCGCCAGCAUCCUGAGAAGAUACUGAGGGUCUGACACGACCCAGAGCAGGCAUCAGGACUCUGGUUUCUGGCCUCCUUGACCGUGACUCAGGAACUCAUCUCAGAAUCAAGAUGGUCCCCGACUACGGCACAUUUAUGUCUUGGGCCAUGCUUGGACAUGCAGAUUUGCUGAGACUAGGGGUUUCCAGUGCCUUGGGUCUAACCUGCCUGGCUACACCCCAGCCCCUCCCUGGAGACCCUGUGAGGGAACAGGUGUGGCCCAUGUUGCUUGCAAAUCCCUCCAAAAUGUCAGACCCUUGCCUGGUCUCCCCAACUCUCUCCCAGCCUGGCCCCACAGCCAUGGCUGCAUCCCUGCUAGCUUCUCCCUAUAAUGUCCUCUCCUUCCAGGCUGAGGUCAUAAUGCCAGCCAAGGUUUUCCUGAGGAACUCACUGACUUCCUUCCUCAGUCAGUGUUGGGACCCAGCAUGGCACCUCAGUCCCCAUCCCUGUGAGUCCCUCAAGAGAGUGGGGGAUUGGCAGGCGUUGUGGCUCAGUGGCUUUAUGCUUGCCUAGCUUGUGUGAGGCACUGGGU